GAGGUAGUUGAAGAGUCGGAAGUGCCAAGGCAACAAUGGAAAAGGAUGGAAAAGUUAAAGAAAAAAACAACAAAAUCCUGAAGUCCAACACGGCCUGUGUCUCCUGACACGGCCCGUGCUGCAAGAAUCAGCUCGCCCCAUAGAAAAACCAGGGGGCUGACACGGCCGACCGUGUUGCCUGGCACGGCCCGUGUCAGCAAGUCUGAAGGAAAAAUUAAAAUUAAAAUAAUUGAAGAGCCAACACGGUCGGCCGUGUUGCCUGGCACGGCCCGUGUUGGCAGGUGCGCUGAAUUUUCUGGUUUGAUGUUUUCACCCAUGUAAGUGAUCCCAGAGGGAAUUUUUGAUUUUUUGGCUUGACUGUAAUGUGUACUGCAAUAUUUAGACCUAAUGAAAAGAAGGAUUGAGGGGGGAGAAAAAAGAAUCUUACGAAGAGAAGUAGAGCAAUCAAGGUUUUUGGAGAACGGAGAUCAUCAAGCGCGGAAGCAAUUGAAGAUCGAAGUUAUCCAAUCUCUUGUAAUGUUUAACCUUAAAUUUGUACUUUCUUUGAAUAUUAUGACGAGCUAAACCCCUCAAUGCUAAGGGGGUGUCCCUGAAUUGUAGUUGUAAUGAACCUUCUUCCUACAAUUUUAUGAAAAUUUAUGUUUUUAUGAAUUCAA
Molecule: long non-coding RNA, 656 nt
Filed under: Lathyrus oleraceus (garden pea)
Lineage: Eukaryota; Viridiplantae; Streptophyta; Magnoliopsida; Fabales; Fabaceae
Description: Pisum sativum (pea) long non-coding RNA (PSAT_LNC025787)
Source: RNAcentral